Molecule: ribosomal RNA, 207 nt
Filed under: uncultured bacterium
Lineage: Bacteria
Description: partial 16S ribosomal RNA
Rfam family: Bacterial small subunit ribosomal RNA
Source: RNAcentral
CACGUAGGCGGCAUAUCAAGUCAGAGGUGAAAGGCCUGGGCUCAACCCGGGAACUGCCUUUGAUACUGGUAUGCUUGAGUUCGGAAGAGGGUAGUGGAAUUCCAAGUGUAGAGGUGAAAUUCGUAGAUAUUUGGAAGAACACCGGUGGCGAAGGCGGCUACCUGGUCCGAUACUGACGCUGAGGUGCGAAAGCGUGGGGAGCGAACA